Long non-coding RNA from Numida meleagris (helmeted guineafowl), 1101 nucleotides. The record is from Ensembl. Lineage: Eukaryota; Metazoa; Chordata; Aves; Galliformes; Numididae.
AUUAUCCGAGGGGAAGAAUUGACCUGGGAGCAUGAAAGCAGAAUAAAGAGGCUUACCGCUACCUGUGAGAAAAUACCCUCACUUGUGAACUUUGAAUUCACUUGAAACUGAAACUUGAGCCUGGAUUUCAGCAUCGGGAUUGACUGCCGAGCGUUCCCGGUGAACAGCCUUUGAUGAGCUGCUGGGCAGAGCGGGCUGGCUUUUCUGCAUGGCUGAGCUCCCGGCUCACACGGCCCCACUUCAGUGCAUGACUGACGGCCUCAGAAAGCGGCCUCCCUCUGCCCAGAGCAACUUGAGCUAACUUGCCAACACAGUUUAACUUUUGGAUUAAACAAGUUCGAGAUGUGCCUGAAAUGUUCCCGCAUGUAGAAAUCCCUCUGUGAAAGGGCAUGUGAAAGGUAUCAAAGAACUUAUUGAGGGAAAAAAAGAUCCAUUGAGGACUACUGAAGGCAAAACCAAUCCUUAUCUGGAGAAAUUGAACCACAAAGGAGCUGGGAGGAGGGAAGAGUAUACUGAGAAGUAUCACCAUGUUUGCUUUGUUCUCAUACUCUUCUCUGGGCUCCUGUAGUUGGUCACUGAAGUCCUUAAUCUUGUUCUGCAGUGUAGGUUUUCUGUUGAGCCUGUCACCUCCCUGGGACCAACCAUUUCAUGGCCCACAUGCCUAUGUCAGGAGCCAACUGCUUAGUGCUGAAGCCCGGAUCAUGCUCCAGACCAGUUAAGAACACCACCAAGGGAGACGGGUGUCAGUGGCACCCAGCAUGGUGUUUCUGCUGAGGGCAGUAGUCCUUGGGUGUGCAGUUCAGUUAUCAGGUGUUUCUCCAGGCUUCUUCCUCCAGCUGAGACAGCAAGGAGCUUUGCUGUACACCUGGGAUCAGUUCCCAGGAAACCACCCUCACAAAUUUGUGUUUGUUUUCCUUAUAAUGUGAAGCAACACCUACUUCCUUGCAGUUCCUGCUACACUGCUGUGUUGUGCUCAUUACUCUAGGACGUUCAAAAACAUCCAAGUGUGCCUAUGACUCUAGUAAUCUUUGUGUCAGUUUUAUUUGUUGCACAGAAGAGAGGCUAUAAUAAACACUAAACAGAGACAUGAGGAAAUCUUCA